Molecule: ribosomal RNA, 443 nt
Filed under: Lentzea sp.
Lineage: Bacteria; Bacillati; Actinomycetota; Actinomycetes; Pseudonocardiales; Pseudonocardiaceae
Description: bacterial SSU rRNA
Rfam family: Bacterial small subunit ribosomal RNA
Source: RNAcentral
CACAUGCAAGUCGAGCGGUAAGGCCCUUCGGGGUACACGAGCGGCGAACGGGUGAGUAACACGUGGGUAACCUGCCCUGUACUCUGGGAUAAGCCUUGGAAACGAGGUCUAAUACCGGAUACGACCUUCUACCGCAUGGUGGAGGGUGGAAAGUUCCGGCGGUAUGGGAUGGACCCGCGGCCUAUCAGCUUGUUGGUGGGGUAAUGGCCUACCAAGGCGACGACGGGUAGCCGGCCUGAGAGGGUGACCGGCCACACUGGGACUGAGACACGGCCCAGACUCCUACGGGAGGCAGCAGUGGGGAAUAUUGCACAAUGGGCGAAAGCCUGAUGCAGCGACGCCGCGUGAGGGAUGACGGCCUUCGGGUUGUAAACCUCUUUCAGCAGGGACGAAGCGCAAGUGACGGUACCUGCAGAAGAAGCACCGGCUAACUACGUGCCAGC